Mytilus californianus (California mussel) is the source of this 1164-nucleotide long non-coding RNA. RefSeq lists it as uncharacterized. The transcript has 2 exons. The record is from RefSeq and is a predicted model, not a curated record. NCBI's taxonomy places the organism in Eukaryota, Metazoa, Mollusca, Bivalvia, Mytilida, Mytilidae.
GCCUUCAGAUUCUUAGAAAGUACUGAUGACUCGAAUUAAAUUACAGAAACAAUACGACGAUUUCAGUUGAUUCUAUCCAUUCGUCGUUAUGGUGAAGGUUGAAGCCUGUUAAAAGGUUAAAACCCGCUGCAUUUGUUUGCACCUGUCCUAAAUCAGGAACCUGUUUCAGUGGUUGUCGCUUGUUAAUGUUGUUCUCAAGUGUUUCUCGUUUUUUUAUAUAGAUUAGACCGUCGGUUUUCCUGUUUGAAUGGUUUUACACUAGUCAUUUUGGGGGCCCUUUAUAGCUUGAUGUUCGGUGUGAGCCAAGGCUCCGUAUUGAAGGCCGUACUUUGACCUAUAAUUGUUUACUUCUUACACAUUGUGACUUGGAUGGAUAGUUGUCUCAUUGGCACUCAUACCACAUGUUCUUAUUUCUAUAUAUAGCAAUAUGUAGUUAGUUAUGCUUUAAUUUAUCAAAAACAAAUUGAACGUAAGUACUAACGACAAUAUUUAAAGAUUUCACUACGUUGUUAAAAAUAGAUAACCUUUAAGAAUACGUUUAUUCAAAGGAUCAUUGAGUUUAUAUGGAUUGCAUAUAAAUUUACGCGCUUUAUAAACAACAUCACCCUGAAAAUUUGGAUGCGAUAGUCCGUGUUCAACAAAAAAGUCUACAGGUACAGCCAAACUUCCUAACCAAAAUUUGGUAUCUAUGAAAUAUUUUAAGAAAAGUUUUAGUUAAUUUGUCGUAUGAAAAUCCCUGACAUUUUUCUUAUUAUAAGUUGAUUUUUCACUUCAAUCAUUUUCUUACUUUGAAUAUUAAUUCCGGUUUUCUAUUUCUGAAGCAGAAUAUAGAAUUGUACUGAUACUAUUUGCUAUGUUUUUAUUUUUGUAGCAGACACAGACAAAUAGAAUAUACAGUAAACUUAUUUAUUCUUUUAUUCCCGGUUGAAUAAAUGUAAUUAUACUGCAUUUCUGUAAAUAUCAGCCCACAACCUCCAGAGAUUUACAUAAUAUAAUGGAACUAAUGAUGUGUCAUAGUCUAGCAGCCGCUGUUACAGAGAAACAUUUAUUCUUUUACAUUUUCAUGUGGAAAGAUCUAUCGGUAUAUCCUAACUCUUCCGACUGCGAUUUUAUAUUUUUUCCAAGAUGCCUAUUUAUAUAUCAAUAAAUAGUGUAUAGUUCCUA